Molecule: long non-coding RNA, 2282 nt
Organism: Oreochromis aureus
Lineage: Eukaryota; Metazoa; Chordata; Actinopteri; Cichliformes; Cichlidae
Source: Ensembl
UAAACAAAUUGCACAAGAACAGGUCAGCGCUCACGAUCACAUGCUGAAAACAUCAAGAACUCCACGACUGCAGGCACCAUCCUCGAUAUCAAAGUUCUGUCAGAAGCCACUGGCACUAAAGUUGUCAUCCUAACAGAGGACAGCAAUGGAAGACUUACCAAAAUGCAGGAGCUGAGCCCAGACACUCGACAUGCCAAUCAAACUGUGACCCUGAUCUACAGACCAAAGAGCCACCAAUACCCCGAUGGUCACUAUGAUGUGCACAUCAAUAACCAGACAGUGAGCAUAGACAACAAAGGCAAGAGCUGUCUGUUUUAUGCUUUGGCACGUGGAAUGAAACCACAAGCCAGUGAAAAAGAGGUCACUUUGGAAGCAAAUCGUCUUCGAUCUGUGGAGGCCGAUACUCUCCUCAGUUACCCAGCCCAAUGGGAGCCUUUCAUCAAGCAGAAAGAAUUAACUGAAACAAUCAGGGGAGGGGACUGGUACAUGUUAGAGGGAGCUGGAGCCAGCCAUAAAAGAAAGCAACGCGUUACGUCUGAAAUUAGUUGGCCAAGUAGAAAAAUUCAAAAACUGGCAAACACAUGCAAAAAAAAAAUUAAAGGAACUGGAAAGUUCAUCAAUGCAGAUCACCAGCCACCAGUCACUUGCAUAUUUAAGGCCAGAAAAUUGAACCAGAAUAGCAGAUUAGCAGAAGCCAUGCUUGAAGUGGCAACAAACUCAUCUACUGGGAACAUUUCUGAUGUGCACAAAUAUCAUGGCCGUGAACUUCCAACAGUUUAUGUACCUGCAGAAGUACAUCGUGAAUUUCCCAGUACAAAAUCACCAGCCUUCAGAGACCUUUUGGCUAAAACCAUAAGUAGUAAUGAUGUUGUGGGUACUUUCAAGCUGACAAUCCUUGGUUCAAUGCCAAAAUUCUGGUUGGAUAGUAGCAGGAACUUCAAAAACUUUCAGAAUAAAAAUAUAAGCAAAAGCAGACUUAAAGAUUUUGAAAACAGUUUUCCACACCACAGUGAAAAGAUGGUAAAGGAAUGGUUUGACCAGCUUAAAAACAAAGGUGCUAUGACAGAUGACCAUCUAACUACUAUUAAUAAUUGGAUCGCUAACCAGGGCUACAAAGAUCAAAACGAUCCACACAGGAAAGAAGUUGCCAACCUCCUCUGAUGAAAAGUUUGCAAGAGAAGAGAAUGUGACCCUUACAAGCAAAUGAAGUACAGUGAAAACCUGGAGAUCUUCCACCUGUCUAAUCAUCAUUAUCAGAUAUCUCUGUGCCUUUGGUUUAAUUUUAACUUUUUAAUUUUAAGAGUGCUUAUCACAGAAAAAAAGUCCUAAUUGCUUGUUUAGCCAUUAUAGCUCAGUAUAGAUUGCAAAUUUAAGACAGGUUUUGUACUUUUUUGUUUUUUAUUUUACUUACUCUUGAUACUUAGAUAAUAUAUCUGAAUAUGUCAGAUUAUGUAAGACAACAAAAGAAUUAUGAUACAGACUUGGUCCAUUAUGUCAAAAGUCUCUGUGGUUUCUAAACUUGGACAAAGGCGUUACUACUUGCUUAGACUUUAUAGCAAAGCAAUAAUUACACUGUGUCCAGCAAAUUAGUGUGGUGAUAUUAGCUGUGAUAGUUUGAAUCUUUCAAUACCAAUGUUGACGAUAACAAAAAGGGAAAAUUUUAAAACCAGGGACUUGCUGACAUUUAUCAUCUUCAAUUAUAUGAACAGCUGAAAUUGGUCACACGUGUUCUGAUUCCUCAGCCAGUGCACAAAGAGCACACAAAAAUGCUGCAACAAAGUGUUUUCUUAUAGUACAUUAAUAAUCGCCCUCAAAGGCUUAUAAAUCAUUAACUCCACAGAGUACCUGAGUGCCCUCCAGUGUUCAAGAGACAAACUACACAUGUGUUAUAUUAAGAUUUAGCAGCUUGAUUUUCUUUUUUGCUGGUUGGAGCACAAGGUGACAGCUGGUGUGAUUCUGCAGAGCCUGACUGUGAAAGGAGCUCUGGAAAUAAAGAAACUGCUUGAGAUGAAUCACAGAAGCUACAGAAAAAAACCUGCAUGUUGUUCUCUGUCAGCAGCAUCCCAUUCGUUAUCUUGAAAAUGGUGCAUAAUUUAAUUCAGUGUAACUAUGAUGGUGGUGGUGAGGGAGGUUAACAAUGAAAUUAUAAUAUAUAUUAUCUGUAUUUACCUGAAACCAUAUAUCCAUAUCUCUCAAAUAUUUCUGUCAAAAUAAAAGCGAGUUAGUAGCAAUAAUUGCAGUGUUUCCGUAUUCUUCCAGUGGUGCAGGUUACUGUAAACUGU